GAACAGAAACCACGUUGUAACCUGUUUGUCCUUCUCAAAACUGACACUUCUGUUGUUAACUGUUCUAAUUUUUUUUUGUCUAUGUAUUUUAAAAUCUUUUGUUUGGUCACUGGCUGAAUAAUAGUCACUCUCUCUGCUUCUCUCUUGCAUAGGUAAAAAUCAAGACAAUAGUGUCCCUUGCCUUUAAAAAAAAAAAAAAGAAGCAUUUGAGGGUCACACGCUUGUUUUCAUACAUUCAGAUGUGUCCUCCGACAUGUAAAUCCCUUUGUCACUCAAGACACACAGAAACCGCCCUUGUCAAGCAGAGAUCAAAUGUGACGAGAAUUUUUGUAUCACCUUUUAUGAAACUAUUGAAAGAACUUACAACCUAAGCUUGGAGCUUGGCUUGGUUCUGUCUGGCAGAGCAGCCCUUGACCUCCAGACAGAGUCCCUUCCUGCUUACAGAAUCCCCAAGACUGGAAAAGUGCUGCUACCAACCUGCCCUUGCUCGCCAACCCUGAUCUUAGAGUUAUCAAAAGCAGAAAACACUAAAGGUACUUCGCUCCCUGUAGAGAAACCUUUGCCAUCAUUGUAGCAAGUGCUGGAAUGUCCCUUUUCCUAUGCAACUUUUUUUAACCCUUUAAUGAACUUAUCUGUUGAGUACAUCGAAGAAUAUUUUUCUUCCUAGAUUUUGUUGUUUAAAUUAUGGGGCCUAACCUGCAACUUAUUUUUUGUCAAUUUUUUAAACUUUUUUUUAAUUACUGUAAAGAAAAUGAAUUUUUUUCCUGCAGCAGGAAACAUAGUUUUGAGUAGUUCUACCUCUUACCUGUAGCUGCCAGGCUUUCUGUAAAAAUUGUAUUGUAUAUAAUGUGAUUUUUACACACAUGCGUGCACGUGAGCACGUACACACACACACACACACACACACACACACACACACACACACACCAAUCUAGGGUAAGCCAGAAGGCUAGAACAAAUUAAAAGAAAAACAAAACACCAUGCUUCUAAGAAUCUGUUGGGUUGUUGGGUUGUUCCCCUCUCCCCUUUUUUCAAAAUAAAUGUAGCUGUUUUGUGAAGGAAUCUGGGGAGCAGAGAGAAAUGUGUGCAGGGGGAAUAACUUCUGCUGUGGUAAUGACUGUGCUGGGAACAGAUGCUGGCAUGUUACAUGUCGACAUCCUAUGCAGUAUUGUUAGGGAUUUCCUCAUUUUAAUAAUUUGUGUCUUUGUGUAAGAACUCUGUGUGUGGUUGUUGCACACCUGUGCAAAGCCAGAUAAGUGACAGUAGCCAGAGGGCAAAGCUGUCACGCUCCUUGUGUCCAUUUUCAUAAAAUCCAAAACCACUCAUAAGAACUUUGUCAGGGGCCAAGAAAUGUAUCGUGGACAUUCAGGUGAAGAUAUCUUACUACUCAGACAUCAGUCAGCAUCCCAGAUACAAGAGUCUAGAGCUACAAUACAAAAGCCAUAUGAAUAUUAUCAGCUCUGUGGUGUUACACAUCUGUAACAUGGUAUAGGAAUGCACAUAGAUCUGCAAGGAAAGUUUAAAGUGUUCAUUUACAUGCCCUCAUAGGAUAGGAUUAUUAGACCACAUGUAUGUGUGUGUAUCUGUGUGCUUCAAUAGACCGAGUUGAAAAUUAGACUUUCCUUAGCCAAAUUGAUGUGGCAUUUGAUUCCAAUAUUUUUAGUAAGCUGCGUUAUAUGCGGAUUAUAUAUUGAGAUAAUAGUUUGGAUGUGGAAUUCAUAUUUUUGGAUUUGUAUAGCAACAGUUGUGAUACACAUUCACUGGGAGAGAUUGCUGGGAGCAUUGGAGAAGCAGAAGGGAACCACCUACUAUGACUGGGUCUGUGGUUGGCUCUUACAGACUCCCACUUUCUUACAGGAACGAAAAUGUAACCCCGCUCUCCUGAAAUCUUGAUCAGAGUUGUAUUAUCCUGCUAGAUGUUACUUCCAUGGCAUUUGUUCAUCUUGAAACUUUAGAUUUUAGAGUAUUUAGGCAUGAACGACCCCAAGGGUUUUUUGUUGUUGUUAUUGAAGUCAUAGCAGCAAAUUACAUGUCAUUUGUUACCAUCUCAAAUGAUACAUUUUUACAUUGCAUUUGUUCUGAGGGUUAUCCUGAAAAUGGUUGUUGUGCAUUUUCUGGUUUUCUAUUAAACCGUGUAAGGAAUCUUACCUUUUUAGGGAUAAACACAUCAGUAAAAUGUUAAAAGCAUGCAUUGUAAAUGCAGUCCAAUCUUGAUGUUGAAUCAAAGACACUUGGUUUACUUUUAUAAAAUCUCUGGAUAUAUAUAAUAUAUAUAAAUAAUUUUUAAUUAUGAAUCAAGUCUAUAUAGGGACUCAUGACCCUCCUCUUACUUUUCAGAGAGCUCCUGGAGUUAGUCACGUCAGUCCUUGAGUAGAUCCUGAAGUUAUCUCACCCCAUGUAUGGUCCCUAGUCUGUGACUGGGGUGGAUGUUAGUAUUCAUGGACUGAACAUAGAGCCAUACCUGACAUUUGCUUGAGGAGUAGGUAACAACGAGUGUUCUCAUUACCACCUGAGUUCCCACACUAACAAGCAGAACUCCAAAUCUCCAUGGAUGCCCCGCAGUAUCUGAAUCUGGCUGAAUUUGCUCAUUGGCCGAUAACUAAGCAGAUUUCAUGGUGGUUUGUUUCUAUGCAAACUGGACACAAAUACAGCAAUGAAUUCUUUAUAAUGCCUUUCUACCCUUCCUCCCUGGAUGUGAAUUUGGAGAUAAGUGUUUCUUGAAGCAAAGACUCAGAGUUGUUGGCCAGGAGUACUGUGGUAGUGCAAACUGGCUGGGAGAGAGAUGUGCAGGCUGAGCCUGCUUGUCGAAGCAUCAAGGCCUCCAGUUUGCCGAGAUGCUGAGAUGCUGGUCCUGUCCUACUGUGUGCAGAAACUACUAAUGGUUUUGUAUAUCAGAGGCGGUAUUGUUUCAGCCUCUCCUGAUAAAGCCGUGGGGUGGGGCUGGGAAGUACUCUUUUGAGAAGACACAAACCAGACCUUCCUUCUUGUCCCCCACCUAAGAGAAAGGGCUGUCUGUUGUCAGUAAUCUGGCUUAUGUGCAUUUUGGGCACAUGUAACAACACACACAGAGUAAAUCCUUUGUCAGUCACGUGUUGCUGUUUAAUAUAGCAAAUGAUUGUCUUCCAUGUUUUUGUUUCUUUUAUUUUAACUGUGUUGAAGUACUUGAAAUGUAUUGACUGCUGAGAAUCUUU
This 3191-nucleotide long non-coding RNA is filed under the name Mus musculus (house mouse). Its description in RNAcentral is "long non-coding RNA chr5:89235592-89238783". The record is from RNAcentral. Lineage: Eukaryota; Metazoa; Chordata; Mammalia; Rodentia; Muridae.